UAAAAAUUACUAAAAAUAAACAUAAGUUCUAAUCAAAAUAAAUAUCUAAUCAAAGAACGUUGUUCGCUAUAGAUAUCUGAAAUAUGGAAAAUAUUAAUGGAGUUGGAUCGUUAGAAGCACAAAUGUUAAAUGACAAGAAACCCAAUUUAAAUGAUUCACAUAGUGUAAUCAUUAAUGUAGAAGAGUACAAUUCAAGCACCAAAGAAAACGGUAA
Teleopsis dalmanni is the source of this 214-nucleotide long non-coding RNA. RefSeq lists it as uncharacterized. Lineage: Eukaryota; Metazoa; Arthropoda; Insecta; Diptera; Diopsidae. The transcript has 3 exons. The record is from RefSeq and is a predicted model, not a curated record.